RNAcentral lists this unclassified non-coding RNA (730 nucleotides) under Hevea brasiliensis (rubber tree). The record is from RNAcentral. Lineage: Eukaryota; Viridiplantae; Streptophyta; Magnoliopsida; Malpighiales; Euphorbiaceae.
UUUUGGUGCUGAUCAAAGUUGGGGCCACAUUGAUGCCACAGUUCCAAACCAGCCACCAAGUCGCUACAAUGAACCAGAUAAUCGAGAUUGGCGCAAGCCUGCAGGUGGGGAGGAGAGGCCUCGGGAGACAGGCCGUGAAUCUAAUCAAUGGCAACAUGAGACUAAUCAAUCCUCAUCAAGGGCAUCAUCUCAAGUGGCAGUACUGACUCUUGCUAAGGCUGAAGUGCCAUGGUCUGCCCGAAGAGCCACCCUCUCCGAGAAAGAUCGAGUUUUGAAGACAGUGAAAGGUAUAUUAAACAAGUUGACACCAGAAAAAUUUGAUCUUCUAAAGGGUCAGUUACUGGAUGCUGGAAUAACGACACCUGAUAUUUUGAAGGAUAUCAUUAUGCUUAUAUUUGAUAAAGCAAUAUUGGAGCCUACCUUUUGUCCCAUGUAUGCUCAACUUUGCGCCGAUCUUGAUGAAAAGCUCCCUGCAUUUCCCUCUGAAGAACCGGGCGGGAAGGAAAUCACAUUCAAGCGUAUACUCUUGAAUAAUUGUCAAGAGGCCUUUGAAGGUGCUGACAGCUUAAGGGCUGAGAUUCGAAAGUUAUCUGCCCCCGAUCAAGAGUUGGAGCGUAGGGACAAAGAAAGAAUGUUGAAGCUCCGGACACUUGGCAACAUCCGCCUUAUUGGAGAGCUUCUGAAGCAGAAUAUGGUGCCAGAGAGAAUUGUUCAUCACAUUGUUCAGGAA